CUAUCCGUUCUCUCUAUAUAUAUACACACACUUCCUAUCUCCUCUAAAUCUGAACCUUUCUUCUCUCCUAAAUUCUUUUUUUCUCUGUCAAAUGUGGGUUGCACUAGUAGUAAGCAUCCUCCACUUCCAACUAAGAGGUUAUGAGUUCGAGUCACCCCAAAAGUAAGGUGGGGAAUUCUUGGAGGAAGGGAGCCGGAAGUCUAUCGGAAACAGCCUCUUUAUUCAGGGUAGGGGCGAUUAUGGACUUUUUUACUGAUAUUUCCAUUUUAUUGGUGUGAAUGAACUCGCUUGCCAUUUCCUAGGUAAAUUUGAGGAAUCAAUAGAGCAGCAACGAUAAGCUAAAACCGAUAUUGAUCAAACCAAGGUGCAGUUGGAGUAGUGGCAAGAGAGAAAGGAUAAGAUUGUGCGGCCUCGGGCAAAAUACUGCUAACAUGAUCAGAUUCAUAGAGAAUUACGUAUUGUAAAUAUUUGAAAUUUUGAAUAUAUAAUUAUGUGUAACUUGGAACCGAUUUUGGAAUCUGAAAGAUUU
Long non-coding RNA from Nicotiana tabacum (common tobacco), 529 nucleotides. RefSeq lists it as uncharacterized. The record is from RefSeq and is a predicted model, not a curated record. Lineage: Eukaryota; Viridiplantae; Streptophyta; Magnoliopsida; Solanales; Solanaceae.